UACGGAGGGGGCUAGCGUUGUUCGGAAUUACUGGGCGUAAAGCGCACGUAGGCGGCUUUGCAAGUUAGAGGUGAAAGCCCGGGGCUCAACUCCGGAAUUGCCUUUUAAACUGCAUCGCUAGAGUUGUGGAGAGGUAAGUGGAAUUCCGAGUGUAGAGGUGAAAUUCGUAGAUAUUCGGAAGAACACCAGUGGCGAAGGCGGCUCACUGGCCCGGAACUGACGCUGAGGUGCGAAAGCGUGGGGAGCAAACAGG
RNAcentral lists this ribosomal RNA (253 nucleotides) under uncultured bacterium. RNAcentral's name for it is "partial 16S ribosomal RNA". It matches the Rfam family "Bacterial small subunit ribosomal RNA", at positions 524 to 776 of the family's 1533-position model. The record is from RNAcentral.